This 203-nucleotide non-coding RNA is filed under the name Stenotrophomonas sp. Lineage: Bacteria; Pseudomonadati; Pseudomonadota; Gammaproteobacteria; Lysobacterales; Lysobacteraceae. The record is from RNAcentral.
ACACUCCGCCGCAUCACAGGUGUCCUGCCGCCGUCACGGUGCGCAGGGUGAAACGGGAAGCCGGUCCGAUGCCGGCGCUGCCCCCGCAACGGUAGGCGAGAAAGCCCGACGGACGACCACUGCGCGCAGCGCGGGAAGGUGUCGGAUUGAUGCGCGACGCAUCGCUCGCAAGCCCGGAGACCGGCCUGUGCGGGAUGUCUGGA